ACGCUCGACACCUACGGGGGGCAGCAGUGGGGAAUAUUGCACAAUGGGGGAAACCCUGAUGCAGCGACGCCGCGUGGAGGAAGAAGGUCUUCGGAUUGUAAACUCCUGUUGUUGGGGAAAAAGAGGAUGGUACCCAACAAGGAAGUGACGGCUAACUACGUCNCNANCGCCGGAGUAUNGNGGCGNGNGAGAG
Molecule: ribosomal RNA, 193 nt
Filed under: uncultured bacterium
Lineage: Bacteria
Description: partial 16S ribosomal RNA
Rfam family: Bacterial small subunit ribosomal RNA (bases 1-169)
Source: RNAcentral